UCAAUAAAAAGUGAGCACUGCCU
This 23-nucleotide non-coding RNA is filed under the name Rattus norvegicus (Norway rat). Lineage: Eukaryota; Metazoa; Chordata; Mammalia; Rodentia; Muridae. The record is from RNAcentral.